GAACGCUGGCGGCGUGCUUAACACAUGCAAGUCGAACGGAAAGGCCCUGCUUUUGUGGGGUGCUCGAGUGGCGAACGGGUGAGUAACACGUGAGUAACCUGCCCUUGACUUUGGGAUAACUUCAGGAAACUGGGGCUAAUACCGGAUAGGAGCUCCUGCUGCAUGGUGGGGGUUGGAAAGUUUCGGCGGUUGGGGAUGGACUCGCGGCUUAUCAGCUUGUUGGUGGGGUAGUGGCUUACCAAGGCUUUGACGGGUAGCCGGCCUGAGAGGGUGACCGGCCACAUUGGGACUGAGAUACGGCCCAGACUCCUACGGGAGGCAGCAGUGGGGAAUAUUGCACAAUGGGCGGAAGCCUGAUGCAGCAACGCCGCGUGCGGGAUGACGGCCUUCGGGUUGUAAACCGCUUUCGCCUGUGACGAAGCGUGAGUGACGGUAAUGGGUAAAGAAGCACCGGCUAACUACGUGCCAGCAGCCGCGGUGAUACGUAGGGUGCGAGCGUUGUCCGGAUUUAUUGGGCGUAAAGGGCUCGUAGGUGGUUGAUCGCGUCGGAAGUGUAAUCUUGGGGCUUAACCCUGAGCGUGCUUUCGAUACGGGUUGACUUGAGGAAGGUAGGGGAGAAUGGAAUUCCUGGUGGAGCGGUGGAAUGCGCAGAUAUCAGGAGGAACACCAGUGGCGAAGGCGGUUCUCUGGGCCUUUCCUGACGCUGAGGAGCGAAAGCGUGGGGAGCGAACAGGCUUAGAUACCCUGGUAGUCCACGCUGUAAACGGUGGGUACUAGGUGUGGGGUCCAUUCCACGGGUUCCGUGCCGUAGCUAACGCUUUAAGUACCCCGCCUGGGGAGUACGGCCGCAAGGCUAAAACUCAAAGGAAUUGACGGGGCCCCGCACAAGCGGCGGAGCAUGCGGAUUAAUUCGAUGCAACGCGUAGAACCUUACCUGGGUUUGACAUGGAUCGGGAGUGCUCAGAGAUGGGUGUGCCUCUUUUGGGGUCGGUUCACAGGUGGUGCAUGGCUGUCGUCAGCUCGUGUCGUGAGAUGUUGGGUUAAGUCCCGCAACGAGCGCAACCCUUGUUCACUGUUGCCAGCACGUUAUGGUGGGGACUCAGUGGAGACCGCCGGGGUCAACUCGGAGGAAGGUGGGGAUGACGUCAAGUCAUCAUGCCCCUUAUGUCCAGGGCUUCACGCAUGCUACAAUGGCUGGUACAGAGAGUGGCGAGCCUGUGAGGGUGAGCGAAUCUCGGAAAGCCGGUCUCAGUUCGGAUUGGGGUCUGCAACUCGACCUCAUGAAGUCGGAGUCGCUAGUAAUCGCAGAUCAGCAACGCUGCGGUGAAUACGUUCCCGGGGCUUGUACACACCGCCCGUCAAGUCAUGAAAGUUGGUAACACCCGAAGCCGAUGGCCUAACCGUUGUGGGGGAGCCGUCGAAGGUGGGACU
RNAcentral lists this ribosomal RNA (1431 nucleotides) under uncultured organism. RNAcentral describes it as "16S ribosomal RNA". It matches the Rfam family "Bacterial small subunit ribosomal RNA". The record is from RNAcentral.